AUGGUAGAUGAGCAACAUGUUUUUGAUCUUGAAUCCCCUUUUAAAUUCAGAUUGACACUUCAAUGGCUCAUUGAGAUGAAAGUGCCAACGAAUGAUUCCCACGGGAAGAAGCAGUUUCCAAACAAGGAAGGUUGUUGCCAUGAAGAUGGGAGAAACAUCCUGGUCUAUGAGUCCAUGAUGAAUGGGAUUCUGAAAGAGCAUCUUCAUGGUAAUUUUUCUUAUCCCCUACGGUAG
RNAcentral lists this ribosomal RNA (234 nucleotides) under Triticum aestivum (bread wheat). Its description in RNAcentral is "partial small subunit ribosomal RNA". Lineage: Eukaryota; Viridiplantae; Streptophyta; Magnoliopsida; Poales; Poaceae. The record is from RNAcentral.